This 329-nucleotide unclassified non-coding RNA is filed under the name soil metagenome. RNAcentral's name for it is "partial contains 5.8S ribosomal RNA, internal transcribed spacer 2, and large subunit ribosomal RNA". The stretch from base 1 to 120 matches the Rfam family "5.8S ribosomal RNA", at positions 35 to 154 of the family's 154-position model. The record is from RNAcentral.
GAUGAAGAACGCAGCGAAAUGCGAUAAGUAAUGUGAAUUGCAGAAUUCAGUGAAUCAUCGAGUCUUUGAACGCACAUUGCGCCCCCUGGCAUUCCGGGGGGCAUGCCUGUUCGAGCGUCAUUACAACCCUCAAGCUCUGCUUGGUAUUGGGCUCUGCUGGGACCGGCAGGCCUUAAAAUCAGUGGCGGCGCCACUCGGCUUCAAGCGUAGUAAUUCUUCUCGCUUCGGAGACCCGGGUGCGUGCUAGCCAGCAACCCCCAACUUUCUUAGGUUGACCUCGGAUCAGGUAGGGAUACCCGCUGAACUUAAGCAUAUCAAUAAGCGGAGGA